Molecule: transfer RNA, 58 nt
Filed under: Ureibacillus manganicus DSM 26584
Lineage: Bacteria; Bacillati; Bacillota; Bacilli; Caryophanales; Caryophanaceae
Description: Lysinibacillus manganicus DSM 26584 tRNA-Thr
Rfam family: tRNA
About the family: Transfer RNA (tRNA) molecules are approximately 80 nucleotides in length. Their secondary structure includes four short double-helical elements and three loops (D, anti-codon, and T loops).
Source: RNAcentral
UAGCUCAAUUGGUAGAGCAACUGACUUGUAAUCAGUAGGUUGAGGGUUCAAGUCCUUU